This 335-nucleotide unclassified non-coding RNA is filed under the name soil metagenome. Its description in RNAcentral is "partial contains 5.8S ribosomal RNA, internal transcribed spacer 2, and large subunit ribosomal RNA". The stretch from base 1 to 120 matches the Rfam family "5.8S ribosomal RNA", at positions 35 to 154 of the family's 154-position model. The record is from RNAcentral.
GAUGAAGAACGUAGCGAAAUGCGAUAAGUAAUGUGAAUUGCAGAAUUCAGUGAAUCAUCGAAUCUUUGAACACACAUUGCGCCCGCCAGUAUUCUGGCGGGCAUGCCUGUUCGAGCGUCAUUUCAACCAUCAAGCCCCCGGCUUGUGUUGGGGACCUGCGGCUGCCGCAGGCCCUGAAAACCAGUGGCGGGCUCGCUAGUCACUCCGAGCGUAGUAAUACAUCUCGCUCAGGGCGUGCUGCGGGUUCCGGCCGUUAAAAAGCCUUAUUUACCCAAGGUUGACCUCGGAUCAGGUAGGAAGACCCGCUGAACUUAAGCAUAUCAAUAAGCGGAGGA